This 366-nucleotide long non-coding RNA is filed under the name Onthophagus taurus. RNAcentral's name for it is "uncharacterized LOC111416593, transcript variant X1". Lineage: Eukaryota; Metazoa; Arthropoda; Insecta; Coleoptera; Scarabaeidae. The record is from RNAcentral.
ACUAAAGUUCACAAGUUCUUCAAUAUGAAUCAUUUAAUUAUUUUUGCCCUGACGUUACUCUGCAUUUCGAAAUCGGUCGAUUCUGUACCCAUUAUCAACUGCGAACCAAAUUCGUUAUCUGAGACUUCGAGUGAACUCCAACAACUUUGUUAUUAUAUUAUGGAAAAUAUGAUUGUAGGUGACACCAUUGGGGAUAAGCACUCAGAACGGGGAAUCAAGAGACAAGCAGUUGAUCACGUGUUUUUGCGCUUCGGUAAACGAUUUGGCUUCUAAAUGAGUAACUCUAAUUGAUUUUAUAAUCAUCACAAAAUUGUACUCACUUUAUUAUAGUAAAAUAUUUAAAGAAUAAAAACUAAAAUUGUGGAA